This 500-nucleotide ribosomal RNA is filed under the name uncultured bacterium. RNAcentral's name for it is "partial 16S ribosomal RNA". It matches the Rfam family "Bacterial small subunit ribosomal RNA", at positions 30 to 523 of the family's 1533-position model. The record is from RNAcentral.
AUUGAACGCUGGCGGCAUGCCUUACACAUGCAAGUCGAACGGCAGCACGGGAGCAAUCCUGGUGGCGAGUGGCGAACGGGUGAGUAAAGUAUCGGAACGUGCCCAGUCGUGGGGGAUAACGUAGCGAAAGUUACGCUAAUACCGCAUACGAUCUAUGGAUGAAAGCGGGGGAUCGCAAGACCGCGCGCGAUUGGAGCGGCCGAUAUCAGAUUAGGUAGUUGGUGGGGUAAAGGCUCACCAAGCCGACGAUCUGUAGCUGGUCUGAGAGGACGACCAGCCACACUGGGACUGAGACACGGUCCAGACUCCUACGGGAGGCAGCAGUGGGGAAUUUUGGACAAUGGGCGAAAGCCUGAUCCAGCCAUGCCGCGUGCAGGAUGAAGGCCUUCGGGUUGUAAACUGCUUUUGUACGGAACGAAAAGGUUUGGCCUAAUAAGCUGAGCUCAUGACGGUACCGUAAGAAUAAGCACCGGCUAACUACGUGCCAGCCGCCGCGGUAA